This 83-nucleotide transfer RNA is filed under the name Callithrix jacchus (white-tufted-ear marmoset). RNAcentral describes it as "tRNA-Leu (TAA) (tRNA-Leu-TAA-2-1)". It matches the Rfam family "tRNA". From Rfam's summary of the family: Transfer RNA (tRNA) molecules are approximately 80 nucleotides in length. Their secondary structure includes four short double-helical elements and three loops (D, anti-codon, and T loops). The record is from Rfam by way of RNAcentral. Lineage: Eukaryota; Metazoa; Chordata; Mammalia; Primates; Cebidae.
ACCGAGAUGGCCGAGUGGUUAAGGCGUUGGACUUAAGAUCCAAUGGGCUGGUGCCCGCGUGGGUUCGAACCCCACUCUCGGUA